Molecule: transfer RNA, 73 nt
Filed under: Ovis aries (sheep)
Lineage: Eukaryota; Metazoa; Chordata; Mammalia; Artiodactyla; Bovidae
Rfam family: tRNA
About the family: Transfer RNA (tRNA) molecules are approximately 80 nucleotides in length. Their secondary structure includes four short double-helical elements and three loops (D, anti-codon, and T loops). Further hydrogen bonds mediate the characteristic L-shaped molecular structure. tRNAs have two regions of fundamental functional importance: the anti-codon, which is responsible for specific mRNA codon recognition, and the 3' end, to which the tRNAs corresponding amino acid is attached (by aminoacyl-tRNA synthetases). tRNAs cope with the degeneracy of the genetic code in two manners: having more than one tRNA (with a specific anti-codon) for a particular amino acid; and 'wobble' base-pairing, i.e. permitting non-standard base-pairing at the 3rd anti-codon position.
Source: Rfam by way of RNAcentral
UCCCUGGUAGUCCAGUGGUUAAGACUCUGCAUUUCGAAUGCAAGGAGCCUGGGAUUAAUCCCUAGUCAAGGAA